This 28-nucleotide non-coding RNA is filed under the name Cricetulus griseus (Chinese hamster). Lineage: Eukaryota; Metazoa; Chordata; Mammalia; Rodentia; Cricetidae. The record is from RNAcentral.
UUUGGUGAUGAUUAUGUGUUUGCUGACA